Molecule: ribosomal RNA, 860 nt
Filed under: uncultured bacterium
Lineage: Bacteria
Description: bacterial SSU rRNA
Rfam family: Bacterial small subunit ribosomal RNA
Source: RNAcentral
UAGCGGCGGACGGGUGAGUAAUGCUUAGGAAUCUGCCUAUUAGUGGGGGACAACAUUCCGAAAGGAAUGCUAAUACCGCAUACGUCCUACGGGAGAAAGCAGGGGAUCUUCGGACCUUGCGCUAAUAGAUGAGCCUAAGUCGGAUUAGCUAGUUGGUGGGGUAAAGGCCUACCAAGGCGACGAUCUGUAGCGGGUCUGAGAGGAUGAUCCGCCACACUGGGACUGAGACACGGCCCAGACUCCUACGGGAGGCAGCAGUGGGGAAUAUUGGACAAUGGGGGGAACCCUGAUCCAGCCAUGCCGCGUGUGUGAAGAAGGCCUUAUGGUUGUAAAGCACUUUAAGCGAGGAGGAGGCUACUGAGACUAAUACUCUUGGAUAGUGGACGUUACUCGCAGAAUAAGCACCGGCUAACUCUGUGCCAGCAGCCGCGGUAAUACAGAGGGUGCGAGCGUUAAUCGGAUUUACUGGGCGUAAAGCGUGCGUAGGCGGCUUUUUAAGUCGGAUGUGAAAUCCCCGAGCUUAACUUGGGAAUUGCAUUCGAUACUGGGAAGCUAGAGUAUGGGAGAGGAUGGUAGAAUUCCAGGUGUAGCGGUGAAAUGCGUAGAGAUCUGGAGGAAUACCGAUGGCGAAGGCAGCCAUCUGGCCUAAUACUGACGCUGAGGUACGAAAGCAUGGGGAGCAAACAGGAUUAGAUACCCUGGUAGUCCAUGCCGUAAACGAUGUCUACUAGCCGUUGGGGCCUUUGAGGCUUUAGUGGCGCAGCUAACGCGAUAAGUAGACCGCCUGGGGAGUACGGUCGCAAGACUAAAACUCAAAUGAAUUGACGGGGGCCCGCACAAGCGGUGGAGCAUGUGGUUUA